CAUAGCCGCGGGAAUACGGAGGGUGCGAGCGUUAAUCGGAAUUACUGGGCGUAAAGCGUGCGCAGGCGGUUAUAUAAGACAGAUGUGAAAUCCCCGGGCUCAACCUGGGACCUGCAUUUGUGACUGUAUAGCUAGAGUACGGUAGAGGGGGAUGGAAUUCCGCGUGUAGCAGUGAAAUGCGUAGAUAUGCGGAGGAACACCGAUGGCGAAGGCAAUCCCCUGGACCUGUACUGACGCUCAUGCACGAAAGCGUGGGGAACAAACAGGAUUAGAUACCCCGGUAGUCCCUGUCUCUUAUACC
This 301-nucleotide ribosomal RNA is filed under the name uncultured bacterium. Its description in RNAcentral is "partial 16S ribosomal RNA". It matches the Rfam family "Bacterial small subunit ribosomal RNA", at positions 512 to 808 of the family's 1533-position model. The record is from RNAcentral.